ACACACAUACUACAAUCUCUGU
Molecule: microRNA, 22 nt
Filed under: Macaca fascicularis (crab-eating macaque)
Lineage: Eukaryota; Metazoa; Chordata; Mammalia; Primates; Cercopithecidae
Description: novel_miR23-5p
Source: RNAcentral